RNAcentral lists this long non-coding RNA (1009 nucleotides) under Androctonus crassicauda. The record is from RNAcentral. Lineage: Eukaryota; Metazoa; Arthropoda; Arachnida; Scorpiones; Buthidae.
AAAACGCAUCUUGAUUAACAAAUUAUUAUUAUUUUUUUUUGAUAAACUAAAUUAUUGUUUAAAAAAUAAUUUGCCACAAAAAAAUAUAUAAUUAUUAUCGAAUUCGAUAACAAUUUUUUUUUUUUUUGAAGAAUUAUCAUAUUUGGGGCCAAUUAUUAAAUAUUUUAUCGUGUUUGGACCAGCCCCAGAUAAAUAGUGGAAGAUAUUAGACACGUAAUGCCACGAGUAACGCACACUAUAGACACUGGUGGAAUAUAUUGAUAUACUAAUAUACAUACUAUAGACACUGGUGUAUAUCAAUAUAUAUUCCACUAUAGUCUAUAGUGUGCGUUACUCGGGGCAUUACGUGUAUAAUAACUUGCACUAAAGAUACUGGUGGAAUACAGUAGUAUAUACUGAUAUACACACUUUAUAGACACUGGUGGAAUAUAUGUGAGCUUACGUAACAUUGCAUUACGUAGUAGCGUGUCCAGUAUACUCUUAACUGUGUACGGCAACUGUGUGAGCAUUACUACACGUUUCAUAAUCUUUUCGGUUUAUACUUUUUACUGAUAUUUAUCACGUCUGUUUUUUAAUUAAGUUUUGAUUGCAUAACGAACGAAGUAGGCAACUUAUUAGUGAACCGUUUUCUUCGUUAAAACUGGAAGAAAAAUUAGAUUUUAUUAAUUACAUUUGUUUCAAUUUUAAAUGGCUCUUGAAAUUUUCGUCAGUUUUCAUUAUUGUUCAUUUUUACUAAAUUAUCGCUUACUGCAGUUACAUACGGUUGAUUUUCGUUAUUCGCUGACUAUUCGCGAAAAAUUUAUUUAUAACCAUAACCGUAAAAUCAUCAAAAUCGAUUUCCGUGACGCUUUCGCGCUUAUUCGCGGAUUCCCGCUGAGCGGCGAAAAUACUUACCAAUGUAAACCUCUCUUUCUCUCUAAUAAAGGAAGUUUUUGUUACCAAACGUAAUCUCUGUGUCGUUCUGCCAGAAAAGUCUCAUUACCUAUCCUUGCUCACUCCCCAACAGUAG